UAGUCAUAUGCUUGUCUUAAAGACUAAGCCAUGCAUGUCUAAGUAUAAGUAUUAUACAGCGAAACUGCGAAUGGCUCAUUAAAACAGUUAUAGUUUAUUCGAUUAUUUGCCCCCUACAUGGAUAACCGUAAUAAUUCUAGAGCUAAUACAUGCUGUCAAACCUGACUUUUGCGGAAGGGUUGUAUUUAUUAGAUAUAAACCAAUAUCCUCACGGAUGUUGUGAUGAUUCAUAAUAACUGAGCGGAUCGCGGCCUCGCCGCGACGAAUCGUUCAAGUUUCUGCCCUAUCAGCUUUCGAUGGUAGUGUAUUGGACUACCAUGGCGAUCACGGGUAACGGGGAAUUAGGGUUCGAUUCCGGAGAGGGAGCCUGAGAAAUGGCUACCACAUCUAAGGAAGGCAGCAGGCGCGUAAAUUACCCAAUCCUAAUUCAGGGAGGUAGUGACAAGAAAUAACAACUCGGACCUCACACGAGGUUACGGGAUUGCAAUGAGAACAAUUUAAACCACUUAUCGAGUAACAAUU
RNAcentral lists this ribosomal RNA (522 nucleotides) under uncultured eukaryote. RNAcentral describes it as "SSU rRNA". It matches the Rfam family "Eukaryotic small subunit ribosomal RNA", at positions 21 to 549 of the family's 1831-position model. The record is from RNAcentral.